This 503-nucleotide ribosomal RNA is filed under the name uncultured bacterium. RNAcentral describes it as "partial 16S ribosomal RNA". It matches the Rfam family "Bacterial small subunit ribosomal RNA", at positions 30 to 523 of the family's 1533-position model. The record is from RNAcentral.
AUUGAACGCUGGCGGCAGGCUUAACACAUGCAAGUCGAGCGGGGUGAUGGUGCUUGCACUAUCACUUAGCGGCGGACGGGUGAGUAAUGCUUAGGAAUCUGCCUAUUAGUGGGGGACAACAUCUCGAAAGGGAUGCUGAUACCGCAUACGUCCUACGGGAGAAAGCAGGGGAUCACUUGUGACCUUGCGCUAAUAGAUGAGCCUAAGUCGGAUUAGCUAGUUGGUGGGGUAAAGGCCUACCAAGGCGACGAUCUGUAGCGGGUCUGAGAGGAUGAUCCGCCACACUGGGACUGGGACACGGCCCAGACUCCUACGGGAGGUAGCAGUGGGGAAUAUUGGACAAUGGGGGGAACCCUGAUCCAGCCAUGCCGCGUGUGUGAAGAAGGCCUUAUGGUUGUAAAGCACUUUAAGCGAGGAGGAGGCUCUUUUGGUUAAUACCCAAGAUGAGUGGACGUUACUCGCAGAAUAAGCACCGGCUAACUCUGUGCCAGCCGCCGCAGUAA